UAGAGUUUGAUCAUGGCUCAGGACGAACGCUGGCGGCGUGCUUAACACAUGCAAGUCGAACGAUGAAGCACUGCUUGCAGUGUGGAUUAGUGGCGAACGGGUGAGUAACACGUGGGUGAUCUGCCCCGCACUUCGGGAUAAGCCUGGGAAACUGGGUCUAAUACCGGAUACGACCCCCUGGUAGGUCAGGGGGUGGAAAGAUUUUAUCGGUGUGGGAUGAGCCUGCGGCCUAUCAGCUUGUUGGUGGGGUAAUGGCCUACCAAGGCGUCGACGGGUAGCCGGCCUGAGAGGGUGAUCGGCCACAUUGGGACUGAGACACGGCCCAGACUCCUACGGGACGCAGCA
Molecule: ribosomal RNA, 345 nt
Filed under: uncultured Corynebacterium sp. FR035
Lineage: Bacteria; Bacillati; Actinomycetota; Actinomycetes; Mycobacteriales; Corynebacteriaceae
Description: bacterial SSU rRNA
Rfam family: Bacterial small subunit ribosomal RNA
Source: RNAcentral